Quercus robur (English oak) is the source of this 235-nucleotide long non-coding RNA. RefSeq lists it as uncharacterized. Lineage: Eukaryota; Viridiplantae; Streptophyta; Magnoliopsida; Fagales; Fagaceae. The transcript is spliced from 3 exons. The record is from RefSeq and is a predicted model, not a curated record.
UUCUGCUUCCCAGAACCAAAACUCAGCUUCCUCUACUCCUCCAAAUGGGGAACGAGCUUAAUUCAGACCUCAAACUUGCUGCUCAAAUAGUUCUUGGCCUGGUCAUUCUCAUCAUCACACUCCUUCUCGCACUUCCCAGAUUUCAGCAAGUUGAGUUGGUCCUAGAACUCAUUUCUGAAGCAGUUGGGAUCCUUGUCAGCAUUGUUGUUCUACUCCAACAGUUAAUACGCGAUCU